This 330-nucleotide ribosomal RNA is filed under the name uncultured bacterium. RNAcentral describes it as "bacterial SSU rRNA". It matches the Rfam family "Bacterial small subunit ribosomal RNA", at positions 568 to 898 of the family's 1533-position model. The record is from RNAcentral.
UGCGUAGGCGGUUCUGUAAGUAUGGUGUGAAAUCUCCCGGCUUAACUGGGAGGGUGCGCUAUAAACUGCGGGACUAGAGUGUGGGAGAGGAAAGUGGAAUUCCUGGUGUAGCGGUGAAAUGCGUAGAUAUCAGGAGGAACACCGGUGGUGUAAACGGCUUUCUGGACCAUAACUGACGCUGAGGCACGAAAGCGUGGGUAGCAAACAGGAUUAGAUACCCUGGUAGUCCACGUCCUAAACGAUGCAUAUUUGGUGUGGGUCAUUCAGUUGAUCCGUGCCGGAGCUAACGCGUUAAAUAUGCCGCCUGGGGAGUACAGUCGCAAGGCUGAA